Molecule: long non-coding RNA, 239 nt
Filed under: Hordeum vulgare
Lineage: Eukaryota; Viridiplantae; Streptophyta; Magnoliopsida; Poales; Poaceae
Description: long non-coding RNA (HVUL_LNC002557)
Source: RNAcentral
UGUGUUUUUCCAGCGAAACGUCGCAUGCUGCUGCCAGCCAUGCCCUGCUGUUGUUUUGUGAAGACCAUUGGCUGUGAAGAUGAGAUAUAUGCGGAGGCGCUGGUGCCGGUGGCCGUGCAUUGACCGCCGGCGACGGAGGUGCGGGUGCGUGUGUGCAUGUGUUUUUCCAGCGAAACGUCGCAUGCUGCUGCCAGCCAUGCCCUGCUGUUGUUCUGUGAAGACCAUUGGCUGUGAAGAUG